GGCAUGACAGCGAUGUCAUGGGUAGGGGAGCGUUCUUAUAAGGAAGAAGCAUUACCGUAAGGAGAUGUGGACAUAUAAGAAGUGAGAAUGCCGGUAUGAGUAUCGAAAAGAAAGGUGAGAAUCCUUUCCACCGAAAGCCCGAGGGUUCCUGAGCAACGAUCGUCGACUCAGGGUAAGUCGGGACCUAAGCCGAGGCGGAAACGCAUAGGCGAUGGACAACAGGUUGAAAUUCCUGUACCGGAUGGAGUCAAUUGAGCGAAGGAGCGACGCAGGAGGGCACAUGAUCGCGCGGCUGGAAGAGCGCGUCCAAGUGCGUAUGCGUAGAGGGAGGCAAAUCCCCCUUUACAGAAGCAGAGACAUGAUGGGGAGUUAAAGGAGACUUUGACGAACUCAUGGAUCCCACACUGCCAAGAAAAACUUCUAGCGAGACGAAAUCCGCCCGUACCGUAAACCGACACAGGUAGGCGGGGAGAGAAUCCUAAGGUGCGCGGGAAAACCCUCGUUAAGGAACUCGGCAAAUUGCAUCCGUAACUUCGGGAGAAGGAUGACCCUGAGUAGGCGAAAGGGAGAAACCCCCGGAACAGAAAAGGGUGGCAGAAAAGAGGCCCAAGCAACUGUUUACCAAAAACACAGGUGCCUGCGAAAGCGAAAGCUGAAGUAUAGGUGCUGACGCCUGCCCGGUGCUGGAAGGUUAAGGAGAGAGGUCAGCGAAAGCGAAGCUUUGAACUGAAGCCCCAGUGAACGGCGGCCGUAACUAUAACGGUCCUAAGGUAGCGAAAUUCCUUGUCGGGUAAGUUCCGACCCGCAUGAAAGGCGUAAUGGUUUGGGCACUGUCUCAACGAGGGGCCCGGUGAAAUUGAAAUACCUGUGAAGAUGCAGGUUACCCGCGACUGGACAGAAAGACCCCAUGGAGCUUCACUGCAGCUUGAGAUUGAAUCCCGGUGACAUAUGCACAGGAUAGGUGGGAGGCUAAGAAGUAAUGCCUUUGGGUGUUACAGAGCCGAUGUUGGGAUACCACCCUUAUGUUGCUGAGAUUCUAACACGGAGACUAACAACCUCGUGGACCAUCUCAGGCAGGCGGUUUGACUGGGGCGGUCGCCUCCUAAAAUGUAACGGAGGCGCCCAAAGGUUCCCUCAGGCCGGACAGAAACCGGCCGAAGAGUGCAAAGGCAGAAGGGAGCUUGACUGCGAGACAGACAAGUCGAGCAGAGACGAAAGUCGGGCUUAGUGAUCCGGUGGUACUGAGUGGAAAGGCCAUCGCUCAACGGAUAAAAGCUACCCUGGGGAUAACAGGCUAAUCUCUCCCAAGAGUUCAUAUCGACGGGGAGGUUUGGCACCUCGAUGUCGGCUCAUCACAUCCUGGAGCUGGAGUAGGUUCCAAGGGUUGGGCUGUUCGCCCAUUAAAGUGGUACGCGAGCUGGGUUCAAAACGUCGUGAGACAGUUUGGUUCAUAUCCAUCGCGGGCGCAAGAAGUUUGAGGGAGGCUGCUCCUAGUACGAGAGGACCGGAGUGGACGGAUCAACGGUGUACCAGUUGUCACGCCAGUGGCACGGCUGGAAAGCCGCAUCCGGAAAGGAUAAACGCUGAAAGCAUCUAAGCGUGAAGCCCGUCCCGAGAUGAGACUUCUCAUCAGCAAUGAGUAAGACCCCUUAAAGACGAUGAGGUUGAUAGGCUGUGAGUGGAAGUGGCGCAAGUCAUGGAGCGACGCAGUACUAAUAGGUCGAGGUCUUAGU
This 1733-nucleotide ribosomal RNA is filed under the name metagenome. RNAcentral's name for it is "bacterial LSU rRNA". It matches the Rfam family "Bacterial large subunit ribosomal RNA", at positions 1204 to 2925 of the family's 2925-position model. The record is from RNAcentral.